CAAUUUUGAAGAUUACAGAAAACUCCAAAGAGAUUGAAGAGAUGGAAUAAAGGAUCCCAGCCCCCGAAAAGAGAAAGCUUUGUGUCUGUAGCCAUAGCCCUUGGCAAUCAGACAUCCUCCUCACUAAUGUGAGGUCAGGAGGGGACUAGAAGUGCUCAGAGGAUGGACUGCCUCUGGCCAGUGCAGGGGAGAGGCAGGGGUGUUGAGGCACAGGAGCCAGAUGAGAGGAACGUCAGCAGCAAAGCAGGUGGACAGCACGGAAGAGGCAGUACAUCUUAACAAAAUCAGGGUUCUGGAUGAAGGGAGGGGUGGUGAAUGGUUGCUGCAAUCAACAGUUCAUACUUCAAUGGAAAGAAGGUGGGAUUUGAUUCCUGGCUGCAAAUCUUCACUCUGUCACCUGCUAUCUGUGUGCCCUCAGUCUCCCAUCAAGGAGUGAUGUCUGUUUCUCCACUUCUUGAAUCUGGGCUGGCCUUGCCAAUAGCAUAUGGCAGAAGUGACAUCGUUCCAUUUCUGAGUCAAAGCCUGAGGAGGCCUUGCAUGCUUCUACUCUCUCUUGCAACCCUGCACUGCCACAUAUCAACAAGACUUAUCAACAAGCCUGGGAUAGCCUGCUAGAUGAUGAAAGAAAUAUGGCCCGCUUGCUCCCAUCACUCCAGCUGAUAGCCAGGCAACCCUAAGAAGCAAAGUCACCUAGCUGAUUAGUAGCUGACCACUGACACAAAAGUAAGAUCAUCUGAGACCAGAAGACAGCCCAUCUGAGCUCAGCCCAAAUUACUGACCCACAAAGUAAUAAUAAAUAAAUGGUUAUUAUUUUUAUGUCACUG
This 824-nucleotide long non-coding RNA is filed under the name Homo sapiens (human). Its description in RNAcentral is "HSALNT0222496". Lineage: Eukaryota; Metazoa; Chordata; Mammalia; Primates; Hominidae. The record is from RNAcentral.